Molecule: ribosomal RNA, 505 nt
Filed under: unidentified marine eubacterium
Lineage: Bacteria
Description: bacterial SSU rRNA
Rfam family: Bacterial small subunit ribosomal RNA
Source: RNAcentral
GGAGGGGGUUAGCGUUGUUCGGAAUUACUGGGCGUAAAGCGCGCGUAGGCGAUUAGAAAGUUGGGGGUGAAAUCCCGGGGCUCAACCUCGGAACUGCCUCCAAAACUGCUAGUCUAGAGUUCGAGAGAGGUGAGUGGAAUUCCGAGUGUAGAGGUGAAAUUCGUAGAUAUUCGGAGGAACACCAGUGGCGAAGGCGGCUCACUGGCUCGAUACUGACGCUGAGGUGCGAAAGUGUGGGGAGCAAACAGGAUUAGAUACCCUGGUAGUCCACACCGUAAACGAUGAAUGCCAGUCGUCGGGUAGUAUACUAUUCGGUGACACACCUAACGGAUUAAGCAUUCCGCCUGGAGUACGGUCGCAAGAUAAAACUCAAAGGAUUGACGGGGCCCGCACAAGGCGUGGAGCAUGUGGUUAAUUCGAAGCAACGCGCAGAACCUUACCAACCCUUGACAUCCUGUGCUACAUCCAGAGAUGGAUGGUUCCCUUCGGGACCGCAGUGACAGGU